Long non-coding RNA from Herpailurus yagouaroundi (jaguarundi), 3431 nucleotides. RefSeq lists it as uncharacterized. The record is from RefSeq and is a predicted model, not a curated record. Lineage: Eukaryota; Metazoa; Chordata; Mammalia; Carnivora; Felidae. The transcript has 2 exons.
CAUACCAUCACUUUUGGGUGUUCAGAUUUCAACAUGAAUGGGGGGGGGGGGUCACAAACAUUCAGGCCAUAGUAUAGAUCCAUAAACAAAUACUCCUAUAAUCUGACAGCAAGAGCCUCCAAAGCAAGAGCAGCAGCUUCAAGUGUGCAGAGACACUCAGUUGUUUGAUUUCAAGCCACCAAGAAUGUUCAAAGGCAGUGCCUGUGCUGAAGAAGCCUAGGAACUCUGAGAUCCAGCCCAGUGAGCUGCGGCCCAGAGAGGUGAGGUCCUGUCCCAGGCCACCCACAUGGGAGAGCCACAAUUACAGCCCGUGUCUGAAUCCCAGCUACAGAAUCCUUUCUACUCUGCAGUUUUGACACAUGGUGCAUUUAGAAAAUUCUAAAGUUGUUGUGGCGGACUGAACCCCACCCCCCGCCACCAAGAUGACCAUGCCCUGAUCCCUGAAACUGUGAAUAUCACUUUUUUUGGCCAAAGGGACUGCAGGCAUGGUUAAAUUAAGGCCCCUGAGAUGAGAACAUUUUCCUGGAUUAUCCAGGUAAGCCCUAAAUGGAAUCACAAGGGUCCCUAUGAGAAGGAGGCAGGAGAGUCAAAUGCAGGAGAGUCUCUGUGACCAUGAAAGCAGAGACUGGAGUCAUGUAGGCAGGAGCCAAGGAAUGUGUGUUGCUUCUAGAAGAAGCUGGAAAAGGCAAGAUUAUCCCUUCUUGUCACCAGGAAUGAAAAGUUGUAUGUCUGUGGCCUGGGUCUGAACUCCCUAGUGUCACCAUGGGCUCACAAUGAGGGAAACCAUGAAAGGGGUUUCUAACAGAAGUAGGUGUUUGUGCCCCAAACUCACAACUUCCAGAAAACAAUGAGCCAGAGCAAGGAGCCGAUAUGGUUUAGGGGAAGUGUCACUGAGAAGACCAUGGACAUGUGACAAUGCAAAUGGGUGUAUCAGCAGUGAGGCCCACGUGUGGGAUUCCCUGGGCUUUCUCUGUGGAUAGUGGGCAGACCCAGCUGCUAUGCACUUCACAUAGCCCAGGCUGACAGCCACCCAGGGGGACUCCUGAGAUCAGGGAGCAAGCUGUGCCAGACCCCAGGUGAGAAGGAAUGUGGUUGGGUCAGCUGCUGCAGGCAAGGACCCCUCAGCAAGCCAGGCAGGAGAGAUCAGUGAGGCAGAAGGGAGCCCCCACACACUUCCUGAGCAGCUGCCCCAGGAGACAUCUGUCUGCCUUGAUUUAAACCUCAAAAAUCAAAAUAUCGAUAAACAAAUACAGACUGAGACAGAGCUGGCUGAGACAGAGACCAGGGAAGAGGUGCUGACAGGUUUUGGGUUAUCUUGUUUUUUGUUUCUUACCAGUAUGUUCUUUGGUACCAAUACCACACACGUAUCUUUUAGCAAGUGUAUGCAGCAAGCCCAGCACAUGGUCUAGGAGCUGGGGCCACUCAAGGGAGCAAAACUUGCAAACUCCCUGCCCUGGUGGGGUGCUGGCAGCUAAGGGCUGAGUUCAAACCCAGGUCAGCUCUAUCCCAAGGUCUGUGCUCACUUCACUGCCCUCCAGGCUGGGCCAGAGAGCAGUGUAAGGGCCCAAGGAGCAGAUUUUGUAAGAAGAUUGCAGUCCAAAUACAAAAGGCCCUUCUUCCAAAAAGGGGGAAGGGAGGAGGAAUCUGGGUUCUGACCCAGACCCUGAUGUCCAGGGGCACAGGGAGCUCCCACCACCCUGAGAGAAAGUGCUUCAUCAUCUCAGGCUUGAGCUGGAAAAGGUGACCAGAGACUGAGGAGAGUGGCCAGCAAGUUUCAGCCCCCACCCUGGUGGUCUGUCCUACUCAGUCAGGUACAGGAAGGUAUCUCACCUGGGCAGUGAGAACACUUCUGCCCGCUCCAGGGCAACUGCUGGCUGUGCUCCUCCCCGAGGAUCUGGCCCUGCCAAGCUCAGCCCCAUUUCUUACCAGUGGCCAGGGAAAAUGGGACCAGGCCUGCUGUGCAAGCUGAUGACGGGCCACACCUUUCAUGCCAAAGCCCCUCCUAGAAGGAAACAAGUUCUGGGACUUUAAGCCUCGGAGGCCAGAGGAGAAACAAAGCUCCCAAAGGAGAUAUGAAGCCUCAGGAUGACCCCAUGCCCCAACCAACAGCAAGCACAGCUGGGCUUGCAUUCCACACCUGGGGAAACUGAGACACAAGGAAGGAGCUGGGCCUAAGAGCUGUGUUCUGAGCCCUGGAAUGAGAAAACGGAAAUCGGGAGGCUAAAACUGAUCCUAUCAGGUGGGCCCCAGGAAACUGUCUCCCCGGCAAGUUAUGUGCAGACACUGGGCCCCCUGCCCAAUCCAGUUAUGGACUAAUGGUCCCCAGGACACUGCAAUUUAGGGAAGGAAGGAGGGGUUUCCUUCCUGAAUCCUAGGAAAAAAGAAACAACAAUAAUGGCCCAAAUGUUGAAGGCAAAAUAGCUUCCUCCUAGAAGGAAUGGUUUUAAGAAUCAUAGAAAGAAACAAAGACACACAGGCUGAUACACUCCUGGACAGACCUAGGAGCAGCCAGAACCCUGCUGGAGACACAUGCCAGGAAAGAUGCCACUUCCCUGACUUCUGAGAAUGCCCCCAGCACCCCAGAAGGGAUCCCUCCAUGUACUGGGCUAAUUUCAAGGCUCAACGGUUGAAUGUUGUGAGGCCCAGUGGUCACACUGCAUAUACCCAGGCCAGCAUCAGGCUCAGGACUGAGAAGGAGCCUGCCACCCACCCAGUAAGCCUGGCCCCCCAAGCCUGAAGGCCACCUGAUUACAUGCAUGCGUCAGCACGGUCCCUGGGUCUGUGUUUUAAACAGUGCUGCAGGGGGUUCUGACAUCCAUCACACCCAUCUGUGAGCUUGAGUAAACCCCAGGACAGAGUCCCACCCUGGCGUGAGCAUAUUCUAUGGACGGCCCACUUGGCACAGCUGCUUUCUUGCCCAUGAGAACAUGGUCACUGUGAAGUUCACCCUGGAAGGCCAAAAGUCCUCCCCUCAGAGCAGGGGCACGAGGACAAAGCCCUGGGAUGCCUGGCCAUGCUGCACUGCAGAACCUGGGAUAGAGGAAGAGUAACUGACAAAUGCCAUUCUCCCACCUCUUAUCCUGGGAAGUCAGCUCCAUGGGGACUAAUGAUCCAGAAGAUGUAGUAAUGGAUGAAACUCCACUUGAGGUCCUAGGCCUGAGUCUGAUGCCACCUUGUACCCCUGCGUCCACAGACCCAAACAGUGGGCACUGGGUUCAUUCAGAAGUUCCCUGGAGUUCCAAGAGUGUGUCAUCCAUGGACCUAGAGCAGGGAAGUGCUGAGGCACGAGAUGAGACACCUCUAAAAGGGGAGCAUGGGACGGUUUCAUCAGGAAAUCUAGUGUCCCAAACCACCUGCUUCCUGAUCCAGUUGGGCUCUCCUGUUAACUGACAUGAGAUGUUCUUUUUCAACAAAAAUGUUUUUUUAAUUAA